UAAAUCUAUACAACUUUCAACAACGGAUCUCUUGGCUCUCGCAUCGAUGAAGAACGCAGCGAAACGCGUAUAUGUWAUGUGAAUWGCAGAAUUCAGUGWAUCAUCGAAUCUCUGAACGCACCUUGCGCUCCUUGGUAUUCCGAGGAGCAUGCCUGUUUGAGUGUCAUUAA
This 170-nucleotide ribosomal RNA is filed under the name Leucopaxillus giganteus. RNAcentral's name for it is "5.8S ribosomal RNA". It matches the Rfam family "5.8S ribosomal RNA". From Rfam's summary of the family: 5.8S ribosomal RNA (5.8S rRNA) is a component of the large subunit of the eukaryotic ribosome. It is transcribed by RNA polymerase I as part of the 45S precursor that also contains 18S and 28S rRNA. The record is from RNAcentral. Lineage: Eukaryota; Fungi; Basidiomycota; Agaricomycetes; Agaricales; Tricholomataceae.